RNAcentral lists this ribosomal RNA (1343 nucleotides) under uncultured bacterium. RNAcentral's name for it is "16S ribosomal RNA". It matches the Rfam family "Bacterial small subunit ribosomal RNA", at positions 28 to 1378 of the family's 1533-position model. The record is from RNAcentral.
GACGAACGCUGGCGGCGUGCUUAACACAUGCAAGUCGAACGGAAAGGCCCUGCUUUUGUGGGGUGCUCGAGUGGCGAACGGGUGAGUAACACGUGAGUAACCUGCCCUUGACUUUGGGAUAACUUCAGGAAACUGGGGCUAAUACCGGAUAGGAGCUCCUGCUGCAUGGUGGGGGUUGGAAAGUUUCGGCGGUUGGGGAUGGACUCGCGGCUUAUCAGCUUGUUGGUGGGGUAGUGGCUUACCAAGGCUUUGACGGGUAGCCGGCCUGAGAGGGUGACCGGCCACAUUGGGACUGAGAUACGGCCCAGACUCCUACGGGAGGCAGCAGUGGGGAAUAUUGCACAAUGGGCGGAAGCCUGAUGCAGCAACGCCGCGUGCGGGAUGACGGCCUUCGGGUUGUAAACCGCUUUCGCCUGUGACGAAGCGUGAGUGACGGUAAUGGGUAAAGAAGCACCGGCUAACUACGUGCCAGCAGCCGCGGUGAUACGUAGGGUGCGAGCGUUGUCCGGAUUUAUUGGGCGUAAAGGGCUCGUAGGUGGUUGAUCGCGUCGGAAGUGUAAUCUUGGGGCUUAACCCUGAGCGUGCUUUCGAUACGGGUUGACUUGAGGAAGGUAGGGGAGAAUGGAAUUCCUGGUGGAGCGGUGGAAUGCGCAGAUAUCAGGAGGAACACCAGUGGCGAAGGCGGUUCUCUGGGCCUUUCCUGACGCUGAGGAGCGAAAGCGUGGGGAGCGAACAGGCUUAGAUACCCUGGUAGUCCACGCUGUAAACGGUGGGUACUAGGUGUGGGGUCCAUUCCACGGGUUCCGUGCCGUAGCUAACGCUUUAAGUACCCCGCCUGGGGAGUACGGCCGCAAGGCUAAAACUCAAAGGAAUUGACGGGGCCCCGCACAAGCGGCGGAGCAUGCGGAUUAAUUCGAUGCAACGCGUAGAACCUUACCUGGGUUUGACAUGGAUCGGGAGCGCUCAGAGAUGGGUGUGCCUCUUUUGGGGUCGGUUCACAGGUGGUGCAUGGCUGUCGUCAGCUCGUGUCGUGAGAUGUUGGGUUAAGUCCCGCAACGAGCGCAACCCUUGUUCACUGUUGCCAGCACGUUAUGGUGGGGACUCAGUGGAGACCGCCGGGGUCAACUCGGAGGAAGGUGGGGAUGACGUCAAGUCAUCAUGCCCCUUAUGUCCAGGGCUUCACGCAUGCUACAAUGGCUGGUACAGAGAGUGGCGAGCCUGUGAGGGUGAGCGAAUCUCGAAAAGCCGGUCUCAGUUCGGAUUGGGGUCUGCAACUCGACCUCAUGAAGUCGGAGUCGCUAGUAAUCGCAGAUCAGCAACGCUGCGGUGAAUACGUUCCCGGG